Molecule: unclassified non-coding RNA, 510 nt
Filed under: Human adenovirus 35
Lineage: Varidnaviria; Bamfordvirae; Preplasmiviricota; Pharingeaviricetes; Rowavirales; Adenoviridae
Source: RNAcentral
AUGCUGGCUUCAGUUGUAAUCAAAACUCCAUCGCAUCUAAUUGUUCUGAGGAAAUCAUCCACGGUAGCAUAUGCAAAUCCCAACCAAGCAAUGCAACUGGAUUGCGUUUCAAGCAGGAGAGGAGAGGGAAGAGACGGAAGAACCAUGUUAAUUUUUAUUCCAAACGAUCUCGCAGUACUUCAAAUUGUAGAUCGCGCAGAUGGCAUCUCUCGCCCCCACUGUGUUGGUGAAAAAGCACAGCUAAAUCAAAAGAAAUGCGAUUUUCAAGGUGCUCAACGGUGGCUUCCAACAAAGCCUCCACGCGCACAUCCAAGAACAAAAGAAUACCAAAAGAAGGAGCAUUUUCUAACUCCUCAAUCAUCAUAUUACAUUCCUGCACCAUUCCCAGAUAAUUUUCAGCUUUCCAGCCUUGAAUUAUUCGUGUCAGUUCUUGUGGUAAAUCCAAUCCACACAUUACAAACAGGUCCCGGAGGGCGCCCUCCACCACCAUUCUUAAACACACCCUCAUAA